UAAACUAAUAGUAAUAGCAUAUGGCUGA
Molecule: non-coding RNA, 28 nt
Filed under: Mus musculus (house mouse)
Lineage: Eukaryota; Metazoa; Chordata; Mammalia; Rodentia; Muridae
Source: RNAcentral